Homo sapiens (human) is the source of this 1598-nucleotide RNA transcript. It is a transcript of the gene named phosphoribosyl pyrophosphate synthetase 2 pseudogene, with no coding region annotated. The transcript has a single exon. Lineage: Eukaryota; Metazoa; Chordata; Mammalia; Primates; Hominidae. The record is from RefSeq and is marked predicted.
GAGGCUGGUUUCUUCCAAUAUGUGUUGCAAAAUGUUGAGGUCAUUCUGUUUUUGCUUUUCUGGGAGUGCUUUUAUCUGUUUGCCUAAGAAGGAGUCCCUCAAAUGUGCUGCUUUGUCUGAUGCCUGUUUCCCACCUUAAUAAACUUUCUCUGCCUUGUUGCUGUAGUCUCUGUGGCAAGAAGAGACCCUUUCUGAUAGGAGUCUUGGUAGGGAACAGAACUUGCCCGCCCCCAACCCAGUCCCAUUGCACAACACCGUGAUGCUUCCUGUGUAACAUGGUCUACCCCCUCUCUAGCAGCACUAGCACGAGGGCAUGCCCUGUGAACCUGAGGCUCUUAGUGCCUGGGCCACACAAGCACACAGGUCAGGCUUUUCCUGCCAAUCAUAAGGGAAGGAGUGACCAAAAUAACAUGUGGGGAAGUUACAAUGGUUUGGGAAACCUCAAAAAAUUCUAAUGGCAGUGAUUUUACAGUCUAUGCUAAAUAUUAAUGAAUUACUUUCUUUUAAUGUUGUAGUCCUUUUCUUUGCUCACAUGGAAAGAGAAAGAGGUGAAACAGCAUGUAGCAUCCAAAAAUAAGAAGAUCUUUUCCAGAGCUGUGCUCCCUGCCCGCAGCCAGGCCCCAACCCACCUCUGCAACCCCUCCUCCUCUCUUCCAAUGGCAGUGGCAGUGGCAGCUCUUUCCUUGCUCCUGACAUCACCACCUUGAGCAUCCCCUGGCUCCACCAAGCUCCAGCUAUGUCCAAUAUGGUGCUGCUUGGCAGCAGCUCACUGGGACUUGCCCAGAAAGUGGUGAAAAGGUGGGGGUUGGAGUUGGGCAAGGUGGUCACUAAGAAGUUCAGCAAUCAGGAGGUUAGCAUAGUGAGUGGUGAAAGAAUGAGAGACCAAGCUGCCUAUGUCAUUGUGAAAAUUAAUGACACCUUGACAUCUCUUGCUAUGACCAAUGUGUGCAAAGCCACAUGGUCCUCUGGCAUGAAGGCAGUACUCUCAUGUUCUCCAUAUGCCCAACAAGAUCAAAAGGACAAGAGUCAUCCUGCAGUUUCUGCAAAACUUGUAGCCAAUGUGUUUUCAGUAGCUGGGUUGGAGCAUGUCAGUACUAUGGAUCUGCACACUGCUCAAAUACAGGGAUUCUUCAGUACUGCUGUGAAUGACUUACAUGUGGAGCCUGCAGUUCUGUGAUGGACCUGAGAGAAUAUUGCAGACUGGAGGAACUGCAGCAUUGUUUCACCCAAAGCAGGAGGAGCCAAAGAGACUCCACCAUUCAUGGACAGACCUAACAUGGCUUGCCUUGCAGGAGAAGUGUUGGGGUGGAUAGGAUGUUUCUGGUUGGUGAUAUUAAAGACUGGGUGGCUGUCCUUGUGGAUGACAUACCCAAUGCAUGUGGCACAACACAUGACUCUGCAGACAAGCUACUGUCUGCUGGAACCACUAAAGUUUAUACCACUUCAGCUCUGAGGCUGUUAUUUUACAAACACCAGUCCCCAACAAGACAACAUGAUUUUGCUCUUACUUGUUUAGCCAUGUUCCUCUAUAGCUCCAUGUAUUGGUCUGUUUUCAUGCUGCUAAUAAAGACAUACCCGACACUGGGUAAUUUACAAAA